Molecule: ribosomal RNA, 550 nt
Filed under: uncultured bacterium
Lineage: Bacteria
Description: bacterial SSU rRNA
Rfam family: Bacterial small subunit ribosomal RNA
Source: RNAcentral
GAGGAAUUUUGCGCAAUGGGGGUAACCCUGACGCAGCAACGCCGCGUGAGUGAAGAAGGCUUUCGGGUCGUAAAGCUCUGUCAAGUGGGAAGAACCCGCAUCAGGUCAACAGGCUGAUGCGCUGACGGUACCACUGAAGGAAGCACCGGCUAACUCCGUGCCAGCAGCCGCGGUAAUACGGAGGGUGCAAGCGUUAUUCGGAAUUACUGGGCGUAAAGGGGGCGCAGGCGGCUGAAUAAGUCAGUAGUGAAAGCCCAGGGCUCAACCCUGGAAGUGGUGCUGAAACUGUUUAGCUUGAGUAUGGUAGAGGGAAGUGGAAUUCCUGGUGUAGCGGUGAAAUGCGUAGAUAUCAGGAGGAACACCGGUGGCGAAGGCGGCUUCCUGGACCAAUACUGACGCUGAGGCGCGAAGGCGUGGGUAGCAAACAGGAUUAGAUACCCUGGUAGUCCACGCAGUAAACGGUGAUCACCAGGUGUUGCGGGUAUUGAUACCUGCAGUGCCGGAGCUAACGCAUUAAGUGAUCCGCCUGGGGAGUACGGCCGCAAGGUUA